Molecule: long non-coding RNA, 206 nt
Filed under: Lathyrus oleraceus (garden pea)
Lineage: Eukaryota; Viridiplantae; Streptophyta; Magnoliopsida; Fabales; Fabaceae
Description: Pisum sativum (pea) long non-coding RNA (PSAT_LNC029270)
Source: RNAcentral
AACCUGGUUUGACACUAUUUAGCCUCAGUCAACUUGGCUUCCAUGAGCACACAUAAUGAAGGAAUCUCAACCUCUACGGGGAGCACUGCUUCCAUACCAUAUACAAGAGAGAAAGGGGUUUCCCCUGUUGAAGUGCAGAUGGAUGUACGAUACCCGUGCAAAGCAAAUGAGAGCAUCUCAUGCCAAUCUUUAUAUGUGACAACCAU